UUGGGGAUUUAGCUCAGUGGUAGAUUGCUUGCCUAGCAAGCACAAGGCCCUGGGUUCGGUCCUCAGCUCUGGAAA
Molecule: transfer RNA, 75 nt
Filed under: Mus musculus (house mouse)
Lineage: Eukaryota; Metazoa; Chordata; Mammalia; Rodentia; Muridae
Description: tRNA-Ala
Source: RNAcentral